Molecule: ribosomal RNA, 264 nt
Filed under: Vibrio sp.
Lineage: Bacteria; Pseudomonadati; Pseudomonadota; Gammaproteobacteria; Vibrionales; Vibrionaceae
Description: partial 16S ribosomal RNA
Rfam family: Bacterial small subunit ribosomal RNA
Source: RNAcentral
CAAGUCAUCAUGGCCCUUACGAGUAGGGCUACACACGUGCUACAAUGGCGCAUACAGAGGGCGGCCAACUUGCGAAAGUGAGCGAAUCCCAAAAAGUGCGUCGUAGUCCGGAUUGGAGUCUGCAACUCGACUCCAUGAAGUCGGAAUCGCUAGUAAUCGUGGAUCAGAAUGCCACGGUGAAUACGUUCCCGGGCCUUGUACACACCGCCCGUCACACCAUGGGAGUGGGCUGCAAAAGAAGUGGGUAGUUAACCUCGGGAGGAC